This 1238-nucleotide long non-coding RNA is filed under the name Manacus vitellinus (golden-collared manakin). Its description in RNAcentral is "lncRNA (ENSMVIG00005013455.1)". Lineage: Eukaryota; Metazoa; Chordata; Aves; Passeriformes; Pipridae. The record is from RNAcentral.
UCUAACCGUGGAAAUAAUCUACCAUCAUGGACCUGAAACAGAUAAUCAGAACAAAAAUUUAGUAAAGAGUAAAUAUUAUCAAAGAAAAAAAAAAUAACAGGAUGUUUUCUGGUUCCUACUGCUUCAGUGCUGCUGUCCAAACACAGAUAGCUCUGUUCUUGGAGGAGCUCUGGGCUCCAGCAAGAGAUACUCGCUACUUAUGCUAGACAUCUGCUGUCCUCAAAGAACUGCUUAAAUCCUGGGUGUGGAAAUCAGAGUAAUGGAUCAAAGUCAGACUAAUAGACCAAGGUCAGAAGUGAUUUCCUGAACCUCUGUCCUCACUCAUCCCUCUUCCUAAAUGCAGAGUCAAAUGCCACUGCUUUGCAGAGGAACUAGAGGAAAGCUUUUAGUUUUCAUUGUCUCUGUGAGCCUGAACAUUACUCCCUGCAACACGCUAAUCUCCAGUAUUGGAAAAGAACAGGAAACUGUGAGUUUAACAAAACCCAUCAACCUGAAACUACUUUGCAUCAAAAAAAUCUGAAUUUGGGACCUGUCCUUGAUUUUACAGUGUCCAUGAAGUUUUUUAGUUCAAUUAUCUUAGUCCUUUUGAAUGCUCUACUCCCCCUCACUCUGUGAAUCUGUGCAGAUCCCAGAAACUGAUGGUGGUUUGGUUGAUCCCAAACCACUAACGUGUUAGGACGAUUUUGCUAAAUGUACAGGGAAAUUGGUGAAAACAAUAAGCACAGAGUACUGACAGAUGAACUAAACAACCAACAUGACAUAGAAAACAAGCAGUUGUCCUUUGUGAAUUUUUUUUAUUAUUUUUUAACAGGCUUGGCUGGCAGAAGCAGUGGCCAUGAACCAUUCAGAUGAGGAUUUGAGUUCUAAGAAGAUAGAGCAUCUCUAACUUUCAUCACUGUACUGAGGAUUUUUCCUUAUGCAUAGAAAAGGCAACGUCAUUUAUCCUUGACUGAGAAUCACCGGUACAUUUCAACAAUGGAAUUAGCUAUUCACUGCAUUACAAUGACUUGCUUUCUGUAAUUUGCCAUUAAUAUGCUUCUACCUGAACAGUGCAAAAUGUGAAUUAAAUUGCCACAGGGAAAAAUAAUGAACCUGUUCUUUGAUUUAAUCUAAAAGCGGACAGUUAUAGUCUCUUUCCUCAUAAUAAUGUUCUUCCCUCUCUUCUCAAAAAUUUUACUUUAACUUGUCUAGGUUUUCUUUUCAAUUCAGGAUAAAGUGCAGCAUGUAAUGUGGCCUUC